GGCUUACAAAAAGCGCAUGGCAGCUCACAGAAGCCCCAGGCAGCCAAGUGCUGGGUGUCCUGCCUUGGGAGGUCCAGGUGCCCAUCUCUUAUAUAUUAUGUAUAUAAUAUGGUGAUUUCCCAGGGGUGGGGAACCACCAGGUUGUUUAAGGAGGGGUGAACUGGCCCGACUUGGAAAUGGAACAGGUCAAAACCCCCAUGCUGAUCACUAUUGGGAUCAUACCUCUGAAUACGCGCUGCAUUCAAGCCUGGGCAUCACAGUAAGACCCCGUCU
This 273-nucleotide long non-coding RNA is filed under the name Homo sapiens (human). Its description in RNAcentral is "non-protein coding lnc-FABP6-2:1". The record is from RNAcentral. Lineage: Eukaryota; Metazoa; Chordata; Mammalia; Primates; Hominidae.